Molecule: ribosomal RNA, 253 nt
Filed under: uncultured bacterium
Lineage: Bacteria
Description: partial 16S ribosomal RNA
Rfam family: Bacterial small subunit ribosomal RNA
Source: RNAcentral
UACAUGGGGUGCAAACGUUGCUCGGAAUUACUGGGCGUAAAGCGCACGUAGGCGGAUUUGUAAGUCAGGGGUGAAAUCCCGGGGCUCAACCUCGGAACUGCCUUUGAUACUGCAAAUCUCGAGUCCGAUAGAGGUGGGUGGAAUUCCUAGUGUAGAGGUGAAAUUCGUAGAUAUUAGGAAGAACACCGGUGGCGAAGGCGGCCCACUGGAUCGGUACUGACGCUGAGGUGCGAAAGCGUGGGGAGCAAACAGG